CCUACGGGAGACAGCAGUGGGGAAUUUUGGACAAUGGGCGAAAGCCUGAUCCAGCCAUGCCGCGUGAGUGAAGAAGGCCUUCGGGUUGUAAAGCUCUUUCGGCCGGGACGAAAUCGCACGAGUGAAUAUCGCGUGUGGAUGACGGUACCGGCAGAAGAAGGACCGGCUAACUACGUGCCAGCAGCCGUGGUAAUACGUAGGGUCCGAGCGUUAAUCGGAAUUACUGGGCGUAAAGCGUGCGCAGGUGGUUUUGUAAGCCAGAUGUGAAAGCCCCGGGCUUAACCUGGGAACUGCAUUUGGGACUGCAAGGCUAGAGUACGGCAGAGGGGGGUAGAAUUCCUGGUGUAGCAGUGAAAUGCGUAGAUAUCAGGAGGAGUACCGAUGGCGAAGGCAGCCCCCUGGGUCGAUACUGACGCUCAUGCACGAAAGCGUGGGGAGCAAACAGGAUUAGAUACCCUGGUAGUCCACGCCCUAAACGAUGUCAACUAGUUGUUGGGGGCCUUACCGGCCCUUAGUAACGCAGCUAACGCGUGAAGUUGACCGCCUGGGGAUACGGUCGCGAAGAUUAAAACCUUAAAUGAAUUGACGG
This 589-nucleotide ribosomal RNA is filed under the name uncultured bacterium. RNAcentral's name for it is "bacterial SSU rRNA". It matches the Rfam family "Bacterial small subunit ribosomal RNA", at positions 338 to 916 of the family's 1533-position model. The record is from RNAcentral.